Molecule: long non-coding RNA, 890 nt
Organism: Sebastes umbrosus (honeycomb rockfish)
Lineage: Eukaryota; Metazoa; Chordata; Actinopteri; Perciformes; Sebastidae
Exons: 2
Source: RefSeq, a predicted model, not a curated record
GAAGGUAGCGGAGGAUUUUGAGAUGUAGCAGAUCGAAAAAGAUGAACAAAAGUUUCAAGUGUAAAAUUUGAGAGCAGAAGCACAAUCACAAAGACAAAAUGUGUGAUAUCUAUUCAGCGGCUCUCUUCCCAGUCAAAACCAGCCUCUCUUUUCUUCGCCCAGUUAAACACACACACACACACACACACACACACACACACACACACAUAUGCUGCAUUACCAACAGUCAGUGAGAAGUGAGGAGUUUCCAUGGCGACGGGAUGGGUGCACCUGCCUGUCGCUGAUAUUUACAAGUCAUAAACGGUGUUUAAUUAUAUUGCUGCCACAUGAACUCUGUGUGCGUGCGUGCUUCUACGCAUGUACGCACGCGCCUGUGUGCACGUGUGCGCGUUAGUGUGCAGAAGGAUUAAAGACGUGCUGUUGUGGUUGUGUGCAGCCAGAGCGCCCUCCUCAGCAGAGUGAAAGCCGAAGACAUUAAAUAUAAAUAGGACCGACGUCAUCCCCAUCUCUGGAGAGAAGCAGAGGAAAGAUGAGGGGAGGAGAGAGGGAAGGAGGAGAGCAAUAGAAAAGAAAAAUGGGAUGAAAGGGGGAAAGUAGAAGAGGAGGAGGAGGAGGAGGAAAGAGGUUUCACAUCAAGUAGGAACCGACGCGACCCUCCUCCACCCCAUUCACCUCCAGCGCACAAGGUCCCUUCUACUGAGCUCAUCAGAAGUCCCACUCCACAUCCCAUCAUCCAGAUCUUCAGCCACCUCUCUGUCUGGACUCCUGGGGGGGAAUAUUCCUGUACUAACCACGGCAUCACUAACCCCCUAAAUAUGACUGUUAGCAUGGAGUCUAAUCGACAAUAAAUGUAUAUGGUCACUAUAAAUUAAAUCUCAACUGAAUUUCCA